Molecule: ribosomal RNA, 497 nt
Filed under: uncultured bacterium
Lineage: Bacteria
Description: partial 16S ribosomal RNA
Rfam family: Bacterial small subunit ribosomal RNA
Source: RNAcentral
GAUGAACGCUGGCGGCGUGCCUAAUACAUGCAAGUCGAGCGAACAGACGAGGAGCUUGCUCCUCUGACGUUAGCGGCGGACGGGUGAGUAACACGUGGAUAACCUACCUAUAAGACUGGGAUAACUUCGGGAAACCGGAGAUAAUACCGGAUAAUAUAUUGAACCGCAUGGUUCAAUAGUGAAAGACGGUUUUGCUGUCACUUAUAGAUGGAUCCGCGCCGCAUUAGCUAGUUGGUAAGGUAACGGCUUACCAAGGCAACGAGGCGUAGCCGACCUGAGAGGGUGAUCGGCCACACUGGAACUGAGACACGGUCCAGACUCCUACGGGAGGCAGCAGUAGGGAAUCUUCCGCAAUGGGCGAAAGCCUGACGGAGCAACGCCGCGUGAGUGAUGAAGGUCUUCGGAUCGUGAAACUCUGUUAUUAGGGAAGAACAAAUGUGUAAGUAACUAUGCACGUCUUGACGGUACCUAAUCAGAAAGCCACGGCUAACUACGUG